GUUGAGAGAUCAAGAAAGAUGCUGGCUGAGAUCAACCAUUCGGUUUUUGACACAGGACGGCAAUUGUUACUGAAACUUACCUGGGCCUCCUAAGACCUGGCUGCUUCUUCUGUGGAGAGAGAAUAAUAGGAACAUCUGCUUCAAGAUUUUCAUAAAGGUCAACUAAGAAAUGUGACAAGAGGAAGACGGGAUGGGGAAAGAAAAGCACCUUGCCUAAGAUCACACAGUUGGUAAGUGAAGCAGCAGUUCUGGACCAAAACCUCACUUUCAGAAUCUAAUUUGAUGUUCUUUCCACUCUACUGUGCUGCAUGGGGUCACUCUUCACACUGAGGGUAGCACCUACAAUGCUUUCGCAGCUGACUAGAUCAUGGUGCUAUGAUAAUGACUGCCAUUUAUUAAGCAUCAACCAUGUAUUACAUAGAUGGAAGUUACACAUAUAUCACAAAGAUUAAAUACAUUAUACAUGCAAAGUACACAGCCCAGGAUUUGGCACAUAGUAAUUAUUCCAUUAACAGCAACUUUAGGUAUUAUUUCUAAUUCGUACAACUCUAUAAUCAAUGAAUUCUAUCUCCAUUUUUCAAAUGAGGAAACUGAGGCUCAGAAAAGCUAGGUAACAUGUCCAAGCCCACAUAAUCAGAAAGUAGCAGAACCCAGGAUUCCAGCUCAAGUUUGACAAACUCUGGAGCCCCUUUGUCACUGGGACUUUCUCUGAGGCAGAAAGUCAGAGUAUGCACAUUAAAAAAAAAGUGUGUUAUUAAAAAAUGAUGACAGGACA
RNAcentral lists this long non-coding RNA (775 nucleotides) under Homo sapiens (human). RNAcentral describes it as "HSALNT0364124". The record is from RNAcentral. Lineage: Eukaryota; Metazoa; Chordata; Mammalia; Primates; Hominidae.